Molecule: ribosomal RNA, 458 nt
Filed under: uncultured bacterium
Lineage: Bacteria
Description: bacterial SSU rRNA
Rfam family: Bacterial small subunit ribosomal RNA
Source: RNAcentral
ACCUUACCAACCCUUGACAUACUUGUCGCGGAUUCCAGAGAUGGAUUCCUUCAGUUCGGCUGGACAAUGUACAGGUGCUGCAUGGCUGUCGUCAGCUCGUGUCGUGAGAUGUUCGGUUAAGUCCGGCAACGAGCGCAACCCACGUCCUUAGUUACCAGCAUUUAGUUGGGUACCCUAAGGAGACUGCCGGUGAUAAGCCGGAGGAAGGUGUGGACGACGUCAAGUCAUCAUGGCCCUUACGGGUUGGGCUACACACGUGCUACAAUGGCAUCUACAGUGAGUUAAUCUCCAAAAGAUGUCUCANUUCGGAUUGGGGUCUGCAACUCGACCCCAUGAAGUUGGAAUCGCUAGUAAUCGCGGNAACAGCAUGCCGCGGUGAAUACGUUCCCGGGCCUUGUACACNCCGCCCGUCACACCAUGGGAAUUGGGUCUACCCGAAGGUGGUNGCGCCAACUAUU